GCGCUGUUAGCUCAGCUGGUAGAGCAGCUCCCUUUUAAGGAGACGGUCGCAAGUUCGAAUCUUGCACGGCGCACAA
RNAcentral lists this transfer RNA (76 nucleotides) under Candidatus Falkowbacteria bacterium CG10_big_fil_rev_8_21_14_0_10_39_9. RNAcentral describes it as "tRNA-Lys". It matches the Rfam family "tRNA". Rfam says of the family: Transfer RNA (tRNA) molecules are approximately 80 nucleotides in length. Their secondary structure includes four short double-helical elements and three loops (D, anti-codon, and T loops). The record is from RNAcentral. Lineage: Bacteria; Candidatus Falkowiibacteriota.